This 36-nucleotide ribosomal RNA is filed under the name Astrosclera willeyana. Its description in RNAcentral is "partial 28S ribosomal RNA". The record is from RNAcentral. Lineage: Eukaryota; Metazoa; Porifera; Demospongiae; Agelasida; Astroscleridae.
UGGACCUCAGAUCAGGCGAGGCUACCUGCUGAACUU